GAUGAACGCUGGCGGCGCGCCUAACACAUGCAAGUCGAACGGUUAAAGCACCUUUUAGGUGUGUAUAAAGUGGCGAACGGCUGAGUAACACGUGGGCAACCUGCCCUCCUCUUGGGGAUAGCCUCGGGAAACCGAGGAUAAUACCCGAUACUUCAAUGUGGCCGCAUGACGACAUUGAGAAAGCUUUUGCGGAGAAGGAUGGGCCCGCGGCCUGUUAGCUUGUUGGUGGGGUAACGGCCUACCAAGGCAAUGAUGGGUAGCUGGGUUGAGAGACCGACCAGCCAGAUUGGGACUGAGACACGGCCCAGACUCCUACGGGAGGCAGCAGUGGGGAAUCUUGCACAAUGGGCGAAAGCCUGAUGCAGCGACGCCGCGUGCGGGAAGAAGGCCUUCGGGUUGUAAACCGCUUUCAGCAGGGACGAGGCGAUAAGUGACGGUACCUGCAGAAGAAGCCCCGGCUAACUACGUGCCAGCAGCCGCGGUAAUACGUAGGGGGCAAGCGUUAUCCGGAUUCAUUGGGCGUAAAGCGCUCGUAGGCGGUCUGUUAGGUCGGGAGUUAAAUCCGGGGGCUCAACCCCCGCUCGCUCUCGAUACCGGCAGACUUGAGUUUGGUAGGGGAAGGUGGAAUUCCUAGUGUAGCGGUGGAAUGCGCAGAUAUUAGGAAGAACACCAGUGGCGAAGGCGGCCUUCUGGGCCAUAACUGACGCUGAGGAGCGAAAGCUAGGGGAGCAAACAGG
This 737-nucleotide ribosomal RNA is filed under the name uncultured Atopobium sp. Its description in RNAcentral is "bacterial SSU rRNA". It matches the Rfam family "Bacterial small subunit ribosomal RNA", at positions 28 to 776 of the family's 1533-position model. Lineage: Bacteria; Bacillati; Actinomycetota; Coriobacteriia; Coriobacteriales; Atopobiaceae. The record is from RNAcentral.